RNAcentral lists this ribosomal RNA (467 nucleotides) under uncultured bacterium. RNAcentral's name for it is "bacterial SSU rRNA". It matches the Rfam family "Bacterial small subunit ribosomal RNA", at positions 338 to 795 of the family's 1533-position model. The record is from RNAcentral.
CCUACGGGGGGCUGCAGUCGAGAAUAGUCUACAAUGGACGGAAGUCUGAUAGUGCGACGCCGCGUGAACGAAGAAUCCCUUCGGGGUGUAAAGUUCUUUUAUACGUGAGCAGUGCCCUUUAUAUGAAUAGUAUAGAGGGAGGGAUUUAAGCGUAUGAAUAAGCAACGGCUAACUCCGUGCCAGCAGCCGCGGUAACACGGGGGUUGCAAGCGUUGUCCGGAAUUACUAGGCGUAAAGUGCAGGUAGGCGGAUAGAUAAGUUUAAGGUUAAAGGCUACGGCUUACCCGUAGUAAGGCGUUAGAUACUGUUUAUCUGGAAUGCGGUUGAGGGAGACAGAAUUCCUGGUGUAGCGGUGGAAUGCGCAGAGAUCAGGAGGAAUACCGAAGGCGAAGGCAGUCUUCUAAGCCGAUAUUGACGCUAAACUGCGAAGGUGUGGGGAUCAAACAGGCUUAGAUACCCCAGUAGUC